AACCUUAUGGACCUGCGGGCGUAUACCUGCGGAAGGAUCAUUACAACAAGGUUCCCUGGCCCUCGAAGCUUCGGCGGAGGGGCGCUACAGCCUGACUUUAUACCCACCCUUUGCCUAUGUGUACCCCUAUUGCUUCCCUCGGCGGGCUCGCCCGCCGACAGGAACCAACUAAACCCUUUGCAUUAUACAUUUAACACUUCCGAUACAAAACCAAAUUAUUACAACUUUUAGCAAUGGAUC
Molecule: unclassified non-coding RNA, 240 nt
Filed under: soil metagenome
Description: partial contains 5.8S ribosomal RNA, internal transcribed spacer 2, and large subunit ribosomal RNA
Source: RNAcentral